AACGAACGCUGGCGGCAGGCCUAACACAUGCAAGUCAAACGGCCCUUCGGGGCAGUGGCGCACGGGUGAGUAACGCGUGGGAAUGUACACCUUGGUAAGGAAUAACUGCUGGAAACGGUAGCUAAUACCUUAUAAUGACUCCGGUCCAAAGAUUUAUCGCCAAGGGAUCAGCCCGCGUCUGAUUAGAUAGUUGGUGAGGUAAUGGCUCACCAAGUCGACGAUCAGUAGCUGGUCUGAGAGGAUGAUCAGCCACACUGGAACUGAGACACGGUCCAG
This 276-nucleotide ribosomal RNA is filed under the name uncultured bacterium. Its description in RNAcentral is "partial 16S ribosomal RNA". It matches the Rfam family "Bacterial small subunit ribosomal RNA", at positions 29 to 334 of the family's 1533-position model. The record is from RNAcentral.